This is a non-coding RNA of Ciona intestinalis (vase tunicate), 494 nucleotides long. NCBI's taxonomy places the organism in Eukaryota, Metazoa, Chordata, Ascidiacea, Phlebobranchia, Cionidae. The record is from RefSeq and is a predicted model, not a curated record.
AGACUAAGGAGGCUGCGAAUUCAACACGCAGCAGGCUAUGUAAUUGUUAUAGAAUAUAUAUAGGCUUCGUAGAAAAUAAUUCGUUAGUGCUGUUUGUUAUAUUUACCGUCUUUACUGGAGGAGUGUAGGUGAAUAUCAUUAAACUAAUAACAAUCAAAAAUGAAACAACAACUCAGUGUGAUUCUUCUCUUUUGUUUAAUUGGGUUCCAACUCGAAGAAGUCAGCAGCACAAAAAUUGAAGAUUUUUCGAUGAGCCAUGUGUUUAAAACCUCAGGACCGUCGUUCAAAUGGACUGAUAAGUGGAACGUAAAACCGCAAGAUGUGCACGUUUCCGACGACGAAAGUCAACUUGAGGACAUGCUUGAUUUAUGGGACUAAAACAGCAAUUUCCAUUAACAAGAAAGAAAUCUGCACACAUGUAUUGUAUUUCAUUAUAUUCACAGUUCACAUAAAAUGUUGUGCUUAUUGAACAAAAUACAUAAAUAUAUACUGUU